This 529-nucleotide ribosomal RNA is filed under the name uncultured bacterium. RNAcentral describes it as "bacterial SSU rRNA". It matches the Rfam family "Bacterial small subunit ribosomal RNA", at positions 8 to 526 of the family's 1533-position model. The record is from RNAcentral.
AGAGUUUGAUCAUGGCUCAGAUUGAACGCUGGCGGCAGGCCUAACACAUGCAAGUCGAACGGUAGCACAGAGGAGCUUGCUCCUUGGGUGACGAGCGGCGGACGGGUGAGUAAUGUAUGGGGAUCUGCCUGAUGGCGGGGGAUAACUACUGGAAACGGUAGCUAAUACCGCAUAAUGUCUACGGACCAAAGCGGGGGACCUCCGGGCCUCGCGCCAUCAGAUGAACCCAUAUGGGAUUAGCUAGUAGGUGAGGUAACGGCUUACCUAGGCGACGAUCCCUAGCUGGUCUGAGAGGAUGACCAGCCACACUGGAACUGAGACACGGUCCAGACUCCUACGGGAGGCAGCAGUGGGGAAUAUUGCACAAUGGGCGCAAGCCUGAUGCAGCCAUGCCGCGUGUAUGAAGAAGGCCUUCGGGUUGUAAAGUACUUUCAGCGAGGAGGAAGGCGUUGUGGUUAAUAACCGCAACGAUUGACGUUACUCGCAGAAGAAGCACCGGCUAACUCCGUGCCAGCCGCCGCGGUAAUAC